CCAGAUUUUGCAAGGUUCCUACUUUGUGUAAUUAGCCCCAGGGAAAUGUGUUAUGUUAAAAUGAAUAUUGCACUUUAAAUAUGUGUAUAUUUGGGCCCUGGGGUGGAGCACUUGGAGAGUAGGGUGGGCCAGUGCUCCACUCCACAUUUUGGAAGUUGCUUGGAACCUACAGGUGAGAAGUCCAGUUCCAGAGUUUCAAUCCUAAU
This is a non-coding RNA of Pelobates cultripes (western spadefoot toad), 206 nucleotides long. NCBI's taxonomy places the organism in Eukaryota, Metazoa, Chordata, Amphibia, Anura, Pelobatidae. The record is from the annotation of a GenBank genome assembly.